This 1021-nucleotide ribosomal RNA is filed under the name Rhodococcus erythropolis. RNAcentral describes it as "bacterial SSU rRNA". It matches the Rfam family "Bacterial small subunit ribosomal RNA", at positions 356 to 1376 of the family's 1533-position model. Lineage: Bacteria; Bacillati; Actinomycetota; Actinomycetes; Mycobacteriales; Nocardiaceae. The record is from RNAcentral.
UGGGGAAUUUGCACAAUGGGCGAAAGCCUGAUGCAGCGACGCCGCGUGAGGGAUGACGGCCUUCGGGUUGUAAACCUCUUUCAGCAGGGACGAAGCGCAAGUGACGGUACCUGCAGAAGAAGCACCGGCUAACUACGUGCCAGCAGCCGCGGUAAUACGUAGGGUGCAAGCGUUGUCCGGAAUUACUGGGCGUAAAGAGUUCGUAGGCGGUUUGUCGCGUCGUUUGUGAAAACCAGCAGCUCAACUGCUGGCUUGCAGGCGAUACGGGCAGACUUGAGUACUGCAGGGGAGACUGGAAUUCCUGGUGUAGCGGUGAAAUGCGCAGAUAUCAGGAGGAACACCGGUGGCGAAGGCGGGUCUCUGGGCAGUAACUGACGCUGAGGAACGAAAGCGUGGGUAGCGAACAGGAUUAGAUACCCUGGUAGUCCACGCCGUAAACGGUGGGCGCUAGGUGUGGGUUCCCUUCCACGGAAUCCGUGCCGUAGCUAACGCAUUAAGCGCCCCGCCUGGGGAGUACGGCCGCAAGGCUAAAAACUCAAAGGAAUUGACGGGGGCCCGCACAAGCGGCGGAGCAUGUGGAAUUAAUUCGAUGCCACCGCGAAGAACCUUACCUGGGUUUUGAAAUAUACCGGAAAGCUGCAGAGAUGUGGCCCCCCUUGUGGUCGGUAUACAGGUGGGUGCAUGGCUGUCCGUCAGCUCGUGUCCUGAGAUGUUGGGUUAAGUCCCGCAACGAGCGCAACCCCUAUCUUAUUGUUGCCAGCACGUUAUGGUGGGGGACUCGUAAGAAAAACUGCCCGGGGUUCAACUCCGAAGGAAAGGUGGGGAACGACGUCAAGUCAUCAUGCCCCUUAUGUCCAGGGCUUCACACAUGCUACAAUGGCCAGUACAGAGGGCUGCGAGACCGUGAGGUGGAGCGAAUCCCUUAAAGCUGGUCUCAGUUCGGAUCGGGGUCUGCAACUCGACCCCGUGAAGUCGGAGUCGCUAGUAAUCGCAGAUCAGCAACGCUGCGNGAAACUUCCCG